Molecule: long non-coding RNA, 579 nt
Organism: Pongo pygmaeus (Bornean orangutan)
Lineage: Eukaryota; Metazoa; Chordata; Mammalia; Primates; Hominidae
Exons: 3
Source: RefSeq, a predicted model, not a curated record
ACUCCAGCCUAGGUGACUAAAUGAGGUCACCUCAAAAAAAAAAAAAAAAAACCACAGAAGACUAUCUUCUGCUUUGAAAAUCAUUUAAGUACUACUGUAGACACCUAUGUAAUCUUCAGAACUUUGGGCAAGAACAAUGCAGAAUUCUAAAUGAAUGACUGACUUUAUGAAGAAAGAAAUAUUCUCUGUCAAGUGUUACCCUUUGGGUGGGGAGGAGGAACAGACAAACGACAAAAGAAGGCCCAGCUUCAGCUUUUUACCAUGGAAAUUUAUCUGUGACUGAAAAUAAAACAGUAACAAAACUAGAAUCAAUUUUCAAGUCUUUACUUCCAAGACUUGGGUGAACAACUAAAGUCUUCUAAAGUUCCUAUUAUCAUAGAAGAUCAGUGAUAACUACACACCGAACUAAAAUUUGUCAUCAUGAAGCUACCUUACCCUUACUUCUCUAAUCAGCGUCAAGAGGCAUCAAGUGAAAGUUGAUCAAAAACUUUUCAUCACCCUGCCCUGUCUCCAACCCUUCCUGUCUGUAGUUCAUGAACCCAUGUGCCCAGUCAAAAAUAAACAGGAUCUAACAAGUUA